This is a long non-coding RNA of Episyrphus balteatus (marmalade hoverfly), 712 nucleotides long. RefSeq lists it as uncharacterized. The transcript is spliced from 2 exons. NCBI's taxonomy places the organism in Eukaryota, Metazoa, Arthropoda, Insecta, Diptera, Syrphidae. The record is from RefSeq and is a predicted model, not a curated record.
AAUUUAAAAUUAAAAUAAAAUCUUAAGAUAGCUUUUUAAAAGCCAUUGAAGGUUAUAUUUCUUCUUCUUUGUUUUUUUCAUUUAUUCCCUUAGUAAAAAAAAGCUUAAUUUCUUUGACGGAAAUUAGGUGCUGUAUCUAUGUAUAGUAAGGUACUCGUCGUACAUCAAACCAAACAACCAUUUUAACGGAAACGGAAGGUAAAAUUAACAAAAGAAAAACAAAAGAUAAAAUCAAGUAAUUUGGCGCUGAAUGAAGUUGUUCCACGUUGCAAGGAUACGGAUAUUCUCGUCGUAUUGUAAACCACAAUAUAGCCUUCUAUACCAUUGUAAACAUAAUGACGAAACUCAUAACAUUUAGUUAACUGUUUUUUUUUUUAUUUUGUUUGUUGUUGUUGUCUUCUUCACAUUGUUCAUAUUGUUGGUUUUAUUUGCUUGCUCGAACCUCAUAACCUAAAUGUUAAAUUUGGAGGCAGAAACAGAAACAGAAUGAAGGAUGAAAUCUAACGAUCCUUGCGUUGAUAUAUUUCGGAGCCAAAUAAACCUGUUUUCUGUGGCCAAAUGGCGGUUCUUUUAAUGUAGAAGCAUCUUAUGAGUAUAAAAGUCUAUGGCAACACAGAAAAAAAAAACGACAUAGAACGACAAGAGAAGAGGUAUAAAGCGGAAAGAGUCAACGGAGGAAACAAACAAACAAGCAAAUAGUAAAAAAAAUAAA